Molecule: long non-coding RNA, 944 nt
Filed under: Vulpes vulpes (red fox)
Lineage: Eukaryota; Metazoa; Chordata; Mammalia; Carnivora; Canidae
Description: lncRNA (ENSVVUG00000026744.1)
Source: RNAcentral
AGAGAAUCAAAGAAUUUCCAUCCAUGUCAAUACUGUAUGGUAAAGAAGCCACAUUUUUAUGUUGAUAGGCCUUUAAAAUACUUAAGCUUUAGCUGUUAGGAUAAAAACUGUUCACUUGUUUUUGGGGAAGUCUUUAAAAACCAUAUACAUUACAGCUCUUCAAAUAUAUAUCAUGACAUACAUUAUUAUUGCAGGACUAUUUCUUAAGAAUUUUCUAACUGCCACCUUCCACCCUAGAACUGAAAGAGUAACUCCAUCAUAAAGGGGACAGCUUCUGACAGUCUUGCCUCCACAUAGAAAUGACAAUCUCAUUAAUGAUGCUAAGUUUAUGUUGUAAAUAUAUUAUCACCACUCUCACACCAACUGCUUAUGUUAAAAAAUAAUUACUAAUUAGUUCCAGCAAGUGCAUUAUAAAAGGUUGCUAAUUUUAACUAUUUUUCUUCUCCCCAUUUUAGAAGAAAAAUGAGUGAUUCAGAGAAGGCAAUCUGUUACCUGGAGGAAUUUCGAAUUUUUAAAUGAUCAUUGAUCAGAGUUUUUAAGAAUCUCAUGAAAACGGUGGUUCAGAUAACAAGAAGGGAGUUGCAGCCUCCAGUUCCACCAAGUGGCCCAACAGCAACGUGAGAAACAUGGAGAAACCCCAAAUUCCUGGGAACACUCUGGAUGGGCAGAAAGUCAUCACCAAACUGAAAUCUGGGCACCACCUGAUGCAAACCAAUUAAAUUUCAUAGAAGUGGUGAGUGCUGAAGGAAAUAGAGUUAACUGGGAAAGAAAAACCAUGACACUUGCUUCUAAUCUUUCUGCUGUUCUAUCUAUUUCUCUCCUUUUUGUUUCCUCUUCCCAUUAAGACUUUCUCAUUUCUUAGAUGAGUAAUUAAACCCUGACCUCAGGUAUAAAUCUCAGAAGCACUUAUCAAUAAAAACAAACUCACCAACUAACCGGGGGCA